RNAcentral lists this ribosomal RNA (207 nucleotides) under uncultured bacterium. RNAcentral's name for it is "partial 16S ribosomal RNA". It matches the Rfam family "Bacterial small subunit ribosomal RNA", at positions 568 to 774 of the family's 1533-position model. The record is from RNAcentral.
UGUGUAGGCGGAGAGAUAAGUCAGACGUGAAAAUUACGGGCUCAACCCGUAACCUGCGUUUGAAACUGUUUCCCUUGAGUGUCGGAGAGGUAAAUGGAAUUCCCAGUGUAGCGGUGAAAUGCGUAGAUAUUGGGAGGAACACCGGUGGCGAAGGCGGUUUACUGGACGACAACUGACGCUGAGACACGAAAGUGUGGGGAGCAAACA